AUAUCAAUAAGCGGAGGAAAAGAAACCAACAGGGAUUGCCUCAGUAACGGCGAGUGAAGCGGCAACAGCUCAAAUUUGAAAUCUGGCUUCCGUAUGGGGGUCCGAGUUGUAAUUUGGAGAGGGUGCUUCGGCGCAGGCCUCGGCCUAAGUCCUUUGGAACAAGGCGUCACAGAGGGUGAGAAUCCCGUACGUGGCUGCCGGCAUGUGCCAUGUGAAGCCCCUUCGACGAGUCGAGUUGUUUGGGAAUGCAGCUCUAAAUGGGAGGUAAAUUUCUUCUAAAGCUAAAUACCGGCCAGAGACCGAUAGCGCACAAGUA
Molecule: ribosomal RNA, 316 nt
Filed under: uncultured eukaryote
Lineage: Eukaryota
Description: partial large subunit ribosomal RNA
Rfam family: Eukaryotic large subunit ribosomal RNA
Source: RNAcentral